CCUACGGUGGCAGCAGUGGGGAAUAUUGGACAAUGGGCGAAAGCCUGAUCCAGCCAUGCCGCGUGUGUGAAGAAGGCCUUCGGGUUGUAAAGCACUUUCAGUGGGGAAGAAAGCCUUGGGGCUAAUACCCUCGAGGAAGGACAUCACCCACAGAAGAAGCACCGGCUAACUCCGUGCCAGCAGCCGCGGUAAUACGGAGGGUGCGAGCGUUAAUCGGAAUUACUGGGCGUAAAGCGCGCGUAGGCGGUCUGAUAAGCCGGUUGUGAAAGCCCCGGGCUCAACCUGGGAACGGCAUCCGGAACUGUCAGGCUAGAGUGCAGGAGAGGAAGGUAGAAUUCCCGGUGUAGCGGUGAAAUGCGUAGAGAUCGGGAGGAAUACCAGUGGCGAAGGCGGCCUUCUGGACUGACACUGACGCUGAGGUGCGAAAGCGUGGGUAGCAAACAGGAUUAGAUACCCCAGUAGUC
Molecule: ribosomal RNA, 464 nt
Filed under: Vreelandella stevensii
Lineage: Bacteria; Pseudomonadati; Pseudomonadota; Gammaproteobacteria; Oceanospirillales; Halomonadaceae
Description: partial 16S ribosomal RNA
Rfam family: Bacterial small subunit ribosomal RNA
Source: RNAcentral